RNAcentral lists this long non-coding RNA (207 nucleotides) under Elaeis guineensis (African oil palm). RNAcentral's name for it is "long non-coding RNA (EGUI_LNC035600)". Lineage: Eukaryota; Viridiplantae; Streptophyta; Magnoliopsida; Arecales; Arecaceae. The record is from RNAcentral.
AUCGAUUCGUGUCUAAGACAAGUGAUAGAUUGGUGGUUAUUUAAUUAGGACUAUUGCUUAUACACGGAGAGCCCUCCAUCAAUCUUGAACUUACCGGCCAACUUAGUCGAUUAAAUUUUUUUUGGAUGCCUAGUGGUGAGUUCACUACACAUGUUGCAAUUAUAUCUUGAUUUGGAUCUUAGGGUGAACCAAGUCAAGAUCUCUCGA